Molecule: ribosomal RNA, 565 nt
Filed under: Pristimantis quantus
Lineage: Eukaryota; Metazoa; Chordata; Amphibia; Anura; Strabomantidae
Description: partial 16S ribosomal RNA
Rfam family: Bacterial large subunit ribosomal RNA
Source: RNAcentral
CGCCUCUUGCCCAUAUAAGAGGUCCAGCCUGCCCAGUGACUCUUGUUCAACGGCCGCGGUAUCCUAACCGUGCGAAGGUAGCGUAAUCACUUGUCUUCUAAAUAAAGACCAGUAUGAAAGGCAUCACGAGGGUUAAACUGUCUCCUCUCCCUAAUCAGUGAACCUAAUCCCCCCGUGAAGAAGCGGGGAUUUUUAUAUAAGACGAGAAGACCCUAUGGAGCUUUAAACAUCAUAACACCUGCUACUAUAUUUUACUCACCCAGGUACCCCCACCUUUUAUAGCACGCUGAUUAUAUGUUUUUGGUUGGGGUGACCGCGGAGAAAAACUAAUCCUCCGUAAUGAAAGGGACCUUCCCUAAACAGCAAGCCACAACUUUAUGUAUCAACAAACUGACAUUCAUUGACCCAAUACAUUGAUUAACGAACCAAGUUACCCUAGGGAUAACAGCGCAAUCCACUUUUAGAGCCCCUAUCGACAAGUGGGCUUACGACCUCGAUGUUGGAUCGGGGUAUCCUAGUGGUGCAGCCGCUACUAAAGGUUCGUUUGUUCAACGAUUAAAACCCC